Molecule: non-coding RNA, 26 nt
Filed under: Drosophila melanogaster (fruit fly)
Lineage: Eukaryota; Metazoa; Arthropoda; Insecta; Diptera; Drosophilidae
Source: RNAcentral
UGUAUUCUUAGGGUAGAUUAGUCCAA